Molecule: long non-coding RNA, 2554 nt
Organism: Prosopis cineraria
Lineage: Eukaryota; Viridiplantae; Streptophyta; Magnoliopsida; Fabales; Fabaceae
Exons: 2
Source: RefSeq, a predicted model, not a curated record
CUUCUAGAGGGGAAUCGAAAAAUUCGGUGGCUGGACAGAGGGAGCCCGCGCACGCAAGGAGAAGUUUAGCUUCGGCAUGUAGCUCUCGUGUUUCUUCCUCGCCUGUUCCCUAUAAGAUAAUUAAUAACUCCUUCAAAGGAUUAUAGGAAUUAAGUACCCUCAACAUCAGUAUGAGGGACACAUGAGAAAUAGGGCUUUUAAGGAAAAUCUUGUUAUUACUGACUGUUUUGAUUGAAGACCGAUAAUUAAUGGGUGAUAUUGAGACAUUGAGUGUUAUUUAAUCUCUGUAUUGGUAUAUAAGUGUUGAAUAUUGAGUAUUAUUUAAUCUCUGUAUUGCUAUAUAAGCGUUGAAUAUGUUCCUAAAGUUUCAUUAAACUCUCGGUAAAAGGUUAUGUUAUUUAGAUAUGGUCAGCUAUUCAUUCUCUUCAAUUUCUUUGGUUCAAUUAUGUACUGAAAAGACAUUGGGAAUAUCGAAUGAUGUUGUAAUAUGAUUGUGUUGUUUCCUAGUUAUUCUCUUAGCUCCUAGCAUGUCUGAAUGUCAAUUCAUAUUGUGGUACUGUGUGAAAUUCCAGUCUAUUAGGAAGCAUACUGUACAAUUAUUUUUGAAUUGAAGUACUUGCUGUCAUGAAAAUUUGUAAUUGUAAUAAUUAUGUUUUUGUUGGUCUUCCUACUUGCUUUUCCUUGCUGGAUAGACUAUAUUUCUAGGGGUGAUAGUGGUUAUUUUGCCACUGGUCUUUAUAGUGAUGAUUAUAAUUGGAAUAAAUUCAAAGGCAUGACUAUUUAGCAUUGUUUUUCCAUGAGAAAUUUGUCCCGGUUGUCUUAAAAUACUGGUGUUGAUUUAUGCCUCUAAAAUUAAUAACAUUUUCAAGUUUCAUAAAAAUGUGUAAGAUUUGUUGUGGCACACCUCUCUUUGGUUAAAGCAUCUUAAGUAGUCAUAUAUCAUGGAUUUCCAUGCUAAAAACCUUGGUUUAUCUUGCUGCAUACAUUUGUCUUGGGUUGAGCUUGACAAAUUGAAUGUUAAAAUGAGAUGUUAAAAUGAGUUAGUGGAAUAUUUAUACAUAAAGGAGGAUUUGCUUUGAUUGAUAUAUAAUUAUAAGUGCUGUUUAGUUAUAUCAUCAUGGUAUGACUUAUAUUCACCAUUGCUUAAAGGGCUUUGUUGUUCUAAAAGAGCCUUUAGCAAGUAUUUGGAUACAGAUUUGAAAGUGAGAUUUAGCAAGUAUUUGGUGAAUAUUUGAAAUUGAGAUGUUUGCAACUAUUUUUAUAAUAAUUAGAAUGUUUUUAUUACUGAAAGAAAUUUUUACUAGCAAAUAUGAGUCCACGAGAAAGUUUGAAAAUUGGCUUAUGAAUGUUGUUUAGAUUCUUUUGUAAUAAAAAUUUUCAUAUAUUGAAGGGUUGAUCUCUAAUAUACCUAUGAACACUUAUGGAUGAACCAAGCACAACGCGCAUGUUUUUCAUGAACCUAAUGCCCAUGCCUGUUUUUGUAGCUUCAGGCUAUUUCAGAUUUGUUACUUAUCCUUGUUGAUUGUGUGUCACCAUCUAUUUUUUUGCGGCCUAUGUGUCACAUCUAUCAUUUGUGGCCUAUGACCCAAGCCUGUUACUUGUGGCGUACAAAUCACACUUGUUGCUCGUGGUCUAAGAUCACAUUUAAUUGGUGACUUACCCACAUGGAUUGUGUACCUAUAAUUAAUAUCUUGUGCUUUGUGGGUUCCUUUAAAAGAACUUGUUUUCAAGAAAGAGUGUGUUUUCUUCUUACUUUUAAUUUUUCAAAAGAAAUUAUUAUUCUAAAUUUUUAGAUAAGUUGAUCCUAGGAUUUCUAUUUCAAAGUAUAAUGAGUUCGAAAAUAUGUUUCCCACACUUGUUGAUAAUAUUAUUUCUGCAUUUUAUAUAUUGCGAGUAUUGUAUCAGCAAACAUUUAUCCAUGUUCAUGUCUGUGUAUUUGGAGUGCUUUAGAUAAUUUAAAUUAUUGAGGUAUUAUCCUAUCAUCUUGACAAAGUAAACGUGAUUUGGGAUAUAUAUGUUUAUGCAUAUUGUAAUCAUUUUAAUGCUGAGCCUUAUUAUGAAACAUCAUUUAAUUAUUUUUAUACCAAUUAUUAGGAAUGUUCAACCCCUUUGUUUGAAUAAUGGUUUUGUUGUUUUCAACAAUUGCUCCAAACAACAAGCAAGAUAUCGACUUGUUUAUUUUUAUUAUUUAUCGAUUGAGGAGGUAACUCUUAUAUUCUUUUUGAAUUUUUAAAGAAAUUUUUUACAAAAAUUCAUGAGUAUUAUAAUGUCAUUUGAUGUUAUACCACAGUCCAGAGGUGUAAUAUUUUUUCCCCCCAAUUGUAAUCACACACACACACACACACACAUAUAUCUUGAUUAGUUUUGCGAAGCAAGUCCAACCUUGUAUUUCGUGCUGGGCGUGAGCCCCAUGUAGGUGAUCAGGUUUGUUUUAAUUUAAUUUAUGAUUAUAUUUGGGUUGUAUACUCUUUUGCUAUUAUCAUUAUACCUUGCAUCACAAGUCUUUAUUUCUAAAAACAUUUAUUUGAAAUAAAUUGUUGUGCUACUAUAUUUU